Molecule: ribosomal RNA, 452 nt
Filed under: uncultured bacterium
Lineage: Bacteria
Description: partial 16S ribosomal RNA
Rfam family: Bacterial small subunit ribosomal RNA
Source: RNAcentral
AGCGAACGCUGGCGGCAGGCUUAACACAUGCAAGUCGAGCGGGCAUAGCAAUAUGUCAGCGGCAGACGGGUGAGUAACGCGUGGGAACGUACCUUUUGGUUCGGAACAACACAGGGAAACUUGUGCUAAUACCGGAUAAGCCCUUACGGGGAAAGAUUUAUCGCCGAAAGAUCGGCCCGCGUCUGAUUUAGCUAGUUGGUGAGGUAAUGGCUCACCAAGGCGACGAGCAGUAGCUGGUCUGAGAGGAUGAUCAGCCACAUUGGGACUGAGACACGGCCCAAGCUCCUAGGGGAGGCAGCAGUGGGGAAUAUUGGACAAUGGGCGCAAGCUUGAUCCAGCCAUGCCGCGUGAGUGAUGAAGGCCCUAGGGUUGUAAAGCUCUUUUGUGCGGGAAGAUAAUGACGGUACCGCAAGAAUAAGCCCCGGCUAACUUCGUGCCAGCCGCCGCCGUAA